Molecule: ribosomal RNA, 472 nt
Filed under: uncultured bacterium
Lineage: Bacteria
Description: bacterial SSU rRNA
Rfam family: Bacterial small subunit ribosomal RNA
Source: RNAcentral
ACGCGGGGCAACCUGGCGACGAGUGGCGAACGGGUGAGUAAUAUAUCGGAACGUGCCCAGUAGUGGGGGAUAGCCCGGCGAAAGCCGGAUUAAUACCGCAUACGACCUACGGGUGAAAGCGGGGGAUCGCAAGACCUCGCGCUAUUGGAGCGGCCGAUAUCAGAUUAGGUAGUUGGUGGGGUAAAAGCCUACCAAGCCAACGAUCUGUAGCUGGUCUGAGAGGACGACCAGCCACACUGGGACUGAGACACGGCCCAGACUCCUACGGGAGGCAGCAGUGGGGAAUUUUGGACAAUGGGCGCAAGCCUGAUCCAGCCAUGCCGCGUGCGGGAAGAAGGCCUUCGGGUUGUAAACCGCUUUUGUCAGGGAAGAAAAGUUCUGGGCUAAUACCCUGGGACGAUGACGGUACCUGAAGAAUAAGCACCGGCUAACUACGUGCCAGCAGCCGCGGUAAUAAGGGCGAAUUCGCCCU